AGAGUCGUACGGUGAAGAAAUAGCGAAUCACGCCGGCCUCGAGUCAUGCGGUUGUGGCAGUAAUGUUGCGGCUGAAGCGUUGACAGAGGCAGGUGCAGGCCAGCCAUUGAGCUUCGAAAUCUCAAACUUCCGAGUGCCGACCGUGUUCUCAGAUCGGGAAGGCCACACGGGAAGCAGCGUUAACGCGAGUUGCUUCUCGGCUUGGCGGAGUCGUAGACUC
RNAcentral lists this non-coding RNA (220 nucleotides) under Desulfomicrobium apsheronum. Lineage: Bacteria; Pseudomonadati; Thermodesulfobacteriota; Desulfovibrionia; Desulfovibrionales; Desulfomicrobiaceae. The record is from RNAcentral.